CCUACGGGUGGCAGCAGUGAGGAAUAUUGGUCAAUGGACGAGAGUCUGAACCAGCCAAGUAGCGUGAAGGAUGACUGCCCUAUGGGUUGUAAACUUCUUUUAUAUGGGAAUAAAACGUUCCACGUGUGGGAUUUUGUAUGUACCAUAUGAAUAAGGAUCGGCUAACUCCGUGCCAGCAGCCGCGGUAAUACGGAGGAUCCGAGCGUUAGCCGGAUUUAUUGGGUUUAAAGGGAGCGUAGGUGGAUUGUUAAGUCAGUUGUGAAAGUUUGCGGCUCAACCGUAAAAUUGCAGUUGAAACUGGCAGUCUUGAGUACAGUAGAGGUGGGCGGAAUUCGUGGUGUAGCGGUGAAAUGCUUAGAUAUCACGAAGAACUCCGAUUGCGAAGGCAGUUCACUGGACUGCAACUGACACUGAGGCUCGAAAGUGUGGGUAUCAAACAGGAUUAGAUACCCCAGUAGUC
RNAcentral lists this ribosomal RNA (460 nucleotides) under uncultured bacterium. Its description in RNAcentral is "partial 16S ribosomal RNA". It matches the Rfam family "Bacterial small subunit ribosomal RNA", at positions 338 to 795 of the family's 1533-position model. The record is from RNAcentral.